Molecule: ribosomal RNA, 736 nt
Filed under: uncultured Atopobium sp.
Lineage: Bacteria; Bacillati; Actinomycetota; Coriobacteriia; Coriobacteriales; Atopobiaceae
Description: bacterial SSU rRNA
Rfam family: Bacterial small subunit ribosomal RNA
Source: RNAcentral
GAUGAACGCUGGCGGCGCGCCUAACACAUGCAAGUCGAACGGUUAAAGCACCUUUUAGGUGUGUAUAAAGUGGCGAACGGCUGAGUAACACGUGGGCAACCUGCCCUCCUCUUGGGGAUAGCCUCGGGAAACCGAGGAUAAUACCCGAUACUUCAAUGUGGCCGCAUGACGACAUUGAGAAAGCUUUUGCGGAGAAGGAUGGGCCCGCGGCCUGUUAGCUUGUUGGUGGGGUAGAGGCCUACCAAGGCAAUGAUGGGUAGCUGGGUUGAGAGACCGACCAGCCAGAUUGGGACUGAGACACGGCCCAGACUCCUACGGGAGGCAGCAGUGGGGAAUCUUGCACAAUGGGCGAAAGCCUGAUGCAGCGACGCCGCGUGCGGGAAGAAGGCCUUCGGGUUGUAAACCGCUUUCAGCGGGGACGAGGCGAAAGUGACGGUACCUGCAGAAGAAGCCCCGGCUAACUACGUGCCAGCAGCCGCGGUAAUACGUAGGGGGCAAGCGUUAUCCGGAUUCAUUGGGCGUAAAGCGCUCGUAGGCGGUCUGUUAGGUCGGGAGUUAAAUCCGGAGGCUCAACCUCCGCCCGCUCCCGAUACCGGCAGACUUGAGUUUGGUAGGGGAAGGUGGAAUUCCUAGUGUAGCGGUGGAAUGCGCAGAUAUUAGGAAGAACACCAGUGGCGAAGGCGGCCUUCUGGGCCAUAACUGACGCUGAGGAGCGAAAGCUAGGGGAGCAAACAGG